GAUGAACGCUGGCGGCGUGCCUAAUACAUGCAAGUCGAACGCAUAGCGAAAGGUGCUUGCACCUUUCAAGUGAGUGGCGAACGGGUGAGUAACACGUGGACAACCUGCCUCAAGGCUGGGGAUAACAUUUGGAAACAGAUGCUAAUACCGAAUAAAACUUAGUGUCGCAUGACCCAAAGUUAAAAGGCGCUUCGGCGUCACCUAGAGAUGGAUCCGCGGUGCAUUAGUUAGUUGGUGGGGUAAAGGCCUACCAAGACAAUGAUGCAUAGCCGAGUUGAGAGACUGAUCGGCCACAUUGGGACUGAGACACGGCCCAAACUCCUACGGGAGGCUGCAGUAGGGAAUCUUCCACAAUGGGCGAAAGCCUGAUGGAGCAACGCCGCGUGUGUGAUGAAGGCUUUCGGGUCGUAAAGCACUGUUGUAUGGGAAGAACAGCUAGAAUAGGAAAUGAUUUUAGUUUGACGGUACCAAACCAGAAAGGGACGGCUAAAUACGUG
This 497-nucleotide ribosomal RNA is filed under the name uncultured bacterium. Its description in RNAcentral is "partial 16S ribosomal RNA". It matches the Rfam family "Bacterial small subunit ribosomal RNA", at positions 28 to 507 of the family's 1533-position model. The record is from RNAcentral.